GUUUGUUUACAAUCUCAAACAAAAGCGAAUUCAUUUAUUCCUUUGAAUUUUUUGUAAUCGGUGAUAAUAGUUCGGAGUGAUUGAACUGCAACUAAAAAGAUUUGCAUUGUAAUAAAGGAUCGGACCAAAGAGAAGUCGGAACGAAUUGCAGCCUGGUCAUCAUCUGGCCCUACAGACUCCCACGGACUUCCAGCGUACUCUCCCUUCUCUGCUCAACUCGGUGAACUCCGGGCCGUUUCAGGUAUUUUAGGACCUACACUUCACAAGGAUUGCUCGUAGUUUUAAUUGUUGUUAGAGACAAUCUGUGGAUACCAAACAACAAUCGGACGCAUGAUAUAUGCCCAAAGAAUUUCCCUGCAAAUCUUCAAUCUCGUAACAGGACGAUCCGAUUUUUCCUACUACCUUCGCCAAGGAAAACGUAUCUGCCAAUUUCGCAGAAAAAUUUUUGGAUUUAUUGGACUGGACAAAGUUUUUCUUCAUCACCGUUUCUCCUAUUUCAAACGUUGUCUCAAUUUCCAAGAUGUGAAGUGUGAUGCAGAACAAUUCGUUGGAGCUUCGAAAUGAAAAUGAAAUCCAAUUUACCCAAUACAAAUUCAAAUAAACUUCGAGGAAGUUGUAACUUAAGUCUUCAAAACUAUGAAUUUCAAAUAACUUAUCCGAAUAUUUACUUUACAAAAAACUAAUAAUUCAAAUUUUAACCACUAAACUAACCCUAUUAAUAAUAAAUUCAAUUCAAUAUAUCUACAAAUUCAAAUAACAAUAAUAAUAUAUACAAUUGUUUUUUUAGAACCAAACCGUUAGUUGGGCGCCAAAUGUAACGGGAGGAAGGAUAUCGAGGACAAGGAGGCGAUACAACCUUCACUUAAGCGCCAGGCAAGUUAUUACACUUGCCGUGAAGGAGCGAGAUUUGUCUCUUCAGUUUCCCGUGUCCGACCGUGAGACCUCAGGGCGAGUUCCUGCCAACGAUCUUCAACCCACACUUGAAUUGUCUUGGCGCUCACCAAGGAAUAGAAUUCAAUCAAAUUGGUAUUCAAAACAUCCAGGAUGGAAAGGUUUCCUUUGAAGGUUUGCCUUCCCAGAGCCUAUGCUACCUCGAACCCGAAAACCGAGCAAUUGAAAAGCCUCCAAACAGCCAAAAUUCAAUCAACAUAAAUUAUAAUGUGAAAUACAGUAUCUAUACAGUUGU
Toxorhynchites rutilus septentrionalis is the source of this 1186-nucleotide long non-coding RNA. RefSeq lists it as uncharacterized. Lineage: Eukaryota; Metazoa; Arthropoda; Insecta; Diptera; Culicidae. The transcript is spliced from 5 exons. The record is from RefSeq and is a predicted model, not a curated record.